RNAcentral lists this ribosomal RNA (478 nucleotides) under Serratia rubidaea. RNAcentral's name for it is "bacterial SSU rRNA". It matches the Rfam family "Bacterial small subunit ribosomal RNA", at positions 923 to 1402 of the family's 1533-position model. The record is from RNAcentral. Lineage: Bacteria; Pseudomonadati; Pseudomonadota; Gammaproteobacteria; Enterobacterales; Yersiniaceae.
GUGCCAGCGGUGGAGCAUGUGGUUUAUUCGAUGCAACGCGAAGAACCUUACCUACUCUUGACAUCCAGAGAACUUUCCAGAGAUGGAUUGGUGCCUUCGGGAACUCUGAGACAGGUGCUGCAUGGCUGUCGUCAGCUCGUGUUGUGAAAUGUUGGGUUAAGUCCCGCAACGAGCGCAACCCUUAUCCUUUGUUGCCAGCGGUUCGGCCGGGAACUCAAAGGAGACUGCCAGUGAUAAACUGGAGGAAGGUGGGGAUGACGUCAAGUCAUCAUGGCCCUUACGAGUAGGGCUACACACGUGCUACAAUGGCGUAUACAAAGAGAAGCGAACCUGCGAAGGCAAGCGGACCUCAUAAAGUACGUCGUAGUCCGGAUUGGAGUCUGCAACUCGACUCCAUGAAGUCGGAAUCGCUAGUAAUCGUAGAUCAGAAUGCUACGGUGAAUACGUUCCCGGGCCUUGUACCACCGGCCCGUAUUGA